CAGAAAUGUGCAGAGAUUUUGAUUGGACUCCUUUGAUCUUGGCGCGGAGUCCCCCAGGUACAGGUUCGUUAGCUCUCAUUAGGAGAAGCAGCGUUUUCCUCUGGUGGUGCACGUCCUUGUACAGCUAAUUGAAGAACCAUCACAGGCACUUUAUUGCUUCGUUACUUUUCGCGGGUGCCUUGGAUGCCUACAAUGACCGACCAGGUUGGAAAUGAGCAGUACAGAACACAAAGAAGGGAAGGGACCAGUUGUUUAAUUAAUUAGCAACUGCUGAAGGAAACACUUUGCAUUUAUUUUUCCUUGCAGACGGUGCAAAACUGUGCUACUGGAUGAAAUUAAGAAAAUGAAAUCAAGAACUUGGCAAGUUGCACCAGGAGGCUGGGUCUGCAUUUGCAUAUCAAAGGCAGAGCUCCUGGAUGGAAAAUGUGCACUACUGUGAAAUGUGAUAGCGCUGUGCCCUGGGGUUCUGCUUUGGAAAGUGCUGAAAUGCGCAGUGCCAUUUGUGGAGGUGUAGGAAGCAUGUGAGAGGAUAUGGCACCUGGAGACUCCUGGCCAGCUACUGCCAGAGUGGGACCUGGCGAUGCAAGCUGAAGAUGGAUUUAGAUGCUGGAAGAGCUUUAUGGAGGAGAAAAGAGAAAUAGAGAAUGAGACGUGCGCCCCUACAGACACGGUGUUCAUUCCUCAUCAGCAAGGGACGGGUCUGCCUCAGACAUGGGAGAAUCUGCUGAUUGAAACAUCUUGCGCUGCCACCAAAGGGAGAUCUCCAGUUUGCAGAGAGAGGAAGAAGGGAAAUGAAGAAACUUGUGGAGGGGAAAUGCCAUGUCAGACACGGCCACUACUUAUUGUCCUGUAUUCAAAGGCCACCGGGCAGAAGGAAGUGUGUGUGGGAAGUGGGAGAGGCAGGAAUGAAACCUGAAAAGUUGCGUAUCAUGAUUGUGAAAGUGGAAAAAAGGAGUGUGAAAAGGGCAGGAGUUCAGCUGAGCUGGAUGUUUGCUGGCAAAAUGUAAAAGGGAAGAAACCCAACACGUUGGGAAUGAAACUGAGAGGGUAAGUGUUUCAAUCUGGUAGUAAUCCUGAGCUCUUGUCUGUCCUGGGUUCCAUGAUUCAUCAGUGAGGAUGGUGAGG
RNAcentral lists this long non-coding RNA (1125 nucleotides) under Coturnix japonica (Japanese quail). RNAcentral describes it as "lncRNA (ENSCJPG00005019199.1)". Lineage: Eukaryota; Metazoa; Chordata; Aves; Galliformes; Phasianidae. The record is from RNAcentral.